RNAcentral lists this ribosomal RNA (105 nucleotides) under Lepisosteus oculatus (spotted gar). Lineage: Eukaryota; Metazoa; Chordata; Actinopteri; Semionotiformes; Lepisosteidae. The record is from RNAcentral.
UCCAGCAGCCAUAUCACCCUGCAACUCACUGAAGCUCAGCAGGUGUGAGCCUGGAAAGUACCUAGAUGGGAGACCUUCUGGGAAAAACUGAGGUUGCUGCUGGAA